UUAUUUUGAGAGUGUUUUUACUGAUGAGAGAGCGAAUGAUAAACCUUAAAUCUUUCUCAAUUUAUAAACAAUUGGGAGAUUCCAAAAAAAAUCAAAUUUAUCAUUCGCGCUCUCAUCAUUAUGAACGCCUUCAAAUCCUGAUUUCAAAUAAAUGGGGAAAAUCAUCUCUUUUCAAUAUAUGCGGAACUCGGAUCCUUCUCAGAAAUCAAAGCCCAAGAUUUCAAGUGCAUAAAUAUCUUAAACGUAUUAAGUCCAUUUGAAUUAUUGUUCUCAACUUAAGAGAAAGCGGUUAAGGUAAUUUUUUUUUCCCAAUUUUCUGAACACAUAAUCACAAUUAUUAUUAUUGUUAUUGUUUGCAAGAUUGUUUAACUUUGUUCCUUCCUUUUUUCUUUUUUUUUGGUAUUUUUCUCAACAGAUAAUCGACAUUAUUAUUCUUCUUAUUCUUCUUGUUUAGGAAUUGCAUAUUCUUGUUAAUAUUAUUUCGAAGUUGACUCUUAAUUGAGGCAGCCGCAAAACUAGUGUUAUUUCUCGUAGAAGAAAGUACAUUAUUUAUAGACUUUUACUACUCCCUUUUUCUUAACUUCGAUGCUUCAUUGAUAGAGUUGAGUUGGAUUAGACUAAAACAUUAACGGGGUGAAUAAAAUCUUAGUUUAUAUUGCACAGGGGUUCAAAUAUAAUUAAAUUUCGAGUAUGAUUUAAUCUGUCGAAUCCACAUCGAGGAGAAAUUGCUAAUUGGAUUUUACACCGUAAACACCGAGGUGGCUUUUGUUUCUUGACGCAGAAUGCUUUUUACUUGUUCUAUUUAGAUUUGCAGUUGCAGUUAUAUAUUAUUUGUAUGGUUAAUCGGGUUUGGUUAUCCUCGUGACGAUCGGAAUCUGGCCUAUUGGCUUCUUUUGGCUCCCCACUGAGGCUUUUUAAUGUGUCUCAUUUCAGCUUGAUUUCUUUUUUUUUUUUUAUAUUAAAUCAUCUGGUAUCCGAGGAUCAUAUUGAACUUCAACUAAUCCAGAU
RNAcentral lists this long non-coding RNA (1008 nucleotides) under Citrus sinensis (sweet orange). RNAcentral describes it as "long non-coding RNA (CSIN_LNC001568)". Lineage: Eukaryota; Viridiplantae; Streptophyta; Magnoliopsida; Sapindales; Rutaceae. The record is from RNAcentral.